Molecule: ribosomal RNA, 274 nt
Filed under: uncultured bacterium
Lineage: Bacteria
Description: partial 16S ribosomal RNA
Rfam family: Bacterial small subunit ribosomal RNA
Source: RNAcentral
AUACGGAGGGUGCAAGCGUUAAUCGGAAUUACUGGGCGUAAAGGGCGCGUAGGCGGUCUAUCAAGUCAGGUGUGAAAUCCCACGGCUCAACCGUGGAGGUGCAUCUGAAACUGAUAGACUCGAGUAUGGGAGAGGAAAGUGGAAUUCCCGGUGUAGAGGUGAAAUUCGUAGAUAUCGGGAGGAACACCAGUGGCGAAGGCGACUUUCUGGACCAAUACUGACGCUGAGGCGCGAAAGCGUGGGGAGCAAACAGGAUUAGAAACCCUAGUAGUCC